GACGAACGCUGGCGGCGUGCCUAAUACAUGCAAGUAGAACGCAGUUGCGAACGGGUGAGUAACGCGUAGGUAACUGCCUCAUAGCGGGGUAUAACUAUUGGAAACGAUAGCUAAUACCGCAUACUGUGAGAUGGACCUGCGUUGUAUUAGCUAGUUGGGGAGGUAAAGGCUCACCAAGGCGACGAUACAUAGCAGACCUGAGAGGGGGAUCGGACACACUGGGACUGAGACACGGCCUAGAACCCUACGGGAUGCAGCAGUAGGGAAUCCUCGGCUACGGACGGAAGUCUGAUCGAGCCACGCCGCGUGAGUGCACAAUGUCUUCGUGGCGUAAAGCUCUGUUAUCAGAGAACCGGUAACUAUCCAGAAAGGGAAGGCUAAAUCCGUGCCAGCCGCCGCGGUAAUUC
This 407-nucleotide ribosomal RNA is filed under the name uncultured bacterium. RNAcentral describes it as "partial 16S ribosomal RNA". It matches the Rfam family "Bacterial small subunit ribosomal RNA", at positions 28 to 526 of the family's 1533-position model. The record is from RNAcentral.